This 254-nucleotide ribosomal RNA is filed under the name uncultured bacterium. Its description in RNAcentral is "partial 16S ribosomal RNA". It matches the Rfam family "Bacterial small subunit ribosomal RNA", at positions 524 to 776 of the family's 1533-position model. The record is from RNAcentral.
UACGUAGGGGGCAAGCGUUGUCCGGAAUCAUUGGGCGUAAAGCGCGUGUAGGCGGCCCGGUAAGUCCGCUGUGAAAGUCGGGGGCUCAACCCUCGAAUGCCGGUGGAUACUGUCGGGCUAGAGUGCGGAAGAGGCGAGUGGAAUUCCUGGUGUAGCGGUGAAAUGCGCAGAUAUCAGGAGGAACACCAAUUGCGAAGGCAGCUCGCUGGGACGUGACUGACGCUGAGACGCGAAAGCGUGGGGGAGCAAACAGG